GUGAACGCUGGCGGUAGGCCUAACACCUGCAAGUCGCACGGCAGCACAGUAAGAGCUUGCUCUUACGGGUGGCGAGUGGCGGACGGGUGAGGAAUACAUCGGAAUCUACUUUUUCGUGGGGGAUAACGUAGGGAAACUUACGCUAAUACCGCAUACGACCUACGGGUGAAAGCAGGGGAUCUUCGGACCUUGCGCGAUUGAAUGAGCCGAUGUCGGAUUAGCUAGUUGGCGGGGUAAAGGCCCACCAAGGCGACGAUCCGUAGCUGGUCUGAGAGGAUGAUCAGCCACACUGGAACUGAGACACGGUCCAGACUCCUACGGGAGGCAGCAGUGGGGAAUAUUGGACAAUGGGCGCAAGCCUGAUCCAGCCAUACCGCGUGGGUGAAGAAGGCCUUCGGGUUGUAAAGCCCUUUUGUUGGGAAAGAAAAGCAGCAGGUUAAUACCCCGCUGUUCUGACGGUACCCAAAGAGUAAGCACCGGCUAACUUCGUG
Molecule: ribosomal RNA, 491 nt
Filed under: uncultured bacterium
Lineage: Bacteria
Description: partial 16S ribosomal RNA
Rfam family: Bacterial small subunit ribosomal RNA
Source: RNAcentral